RNAcentral lists this small nuclear RNA (164 nucleotides) under Pogona vitticeps (central bearded dragon). RNAcentral's name for it is "U1 spliceosomal RNA (ENSPVIG00000003811.1)". It matches the Rfam family "U1 spliceosomal RNA". From Rfam's summary of the family: U1 is a small nuclear RNA (snRNA) component of the spliceosome (involved in pre-mRNA splicing). Its 5' end forms complementary base pairs with the 5' splice junction, thus defining the 5' donor site of an intron. The record is from Rfam by way of RNAcentral. Lineage: Eukaryota; Metazoa; Chordata; Lepidosauria; Squamata; Agamidae.
AUACUUACCUGGCAGGGGAGUUACCAUGAUCAUGAAAGUGGUUUUCUCAGGUUGAGGCUCACCCAUUGCACUUUGGGUAUGCUGAUCCCUAUGAUUUCCCCAAAUGUGGGAAACUUGACUGCAUAAUUUGUGAUAGUGGGGGACUGUGUUUGUGCUUUCCCAUG